This is a long non-coding RNA of Rhagoletis zephyria (snowberry fruit fly), 2534 nucleotides long. RefSeq lists it as uncharacterized. NCBI's taxonomy places the organism in Eukaryota, Metazoa, Arthropoda, Insecta, Diptera, Tephritidae. The record is from RefSeq and is a predicted model, not a curated record.
AUCAAGCAAGCAUUUCGUGGUAGUAUUUUUGAAUAUCUAGGCAAAUAUUUGAAAGUUAGGAGGGGGGGCCCGGGCCUCCCCCCCUGCCCCUACCUGGCUACGCCCAUGAUUACAGCAGAGGAAUCGCAAAAUACGCGUUUGGUUUGCAGUUCGAAUCCUCCUUCCUAUCCCCCAACUGUAAGCUCUGAAGUACCAAAAGUAUACACGAAGCUGCUGCGUCUAAUCGAAUUUGAUACUGUUGUCGCCACACAUGGCCCUGGCAUGGAUGUGGAUGAACUGCCACCACACAAGCGUAAAUCGAAUAGUGAACUUGGACCACCUGCCAAGCAGCAAAAGACAAUUUAUCCAGCCUAUUUUAUACCAGAAUUAGCGCACGUUAUUGCGAUGUUUUUUAAUCUAUCACAGGAAUUGUCGAGACAUGAAAUACCAAAUAGCGGCUUGCAAGUGGAAGCUAAGACUAUGUUCAAACAGGCCAAUUAGCUUAUGCAAUUAGUAUUUGACAGCUGUGUGUUUUGAUUUUACUUGUGAAAAAUUCGGCGCGGAAAAUAGAGAAAACUUGAGUUUAGGACGAAUUUUACUAGCAGUCAAUACUGUCAAAAUUUGAUAGCAGCUUGGCAUUGUUGAGAAAAAGAAGGAGAAAUAAUUUGCUAGUCCUUCAAAUUUAAGGAUGCAGCAGCUACUGAUCCUAGCAGCAUUGGAACAAAAUGCAACUCAAAGGUCGCUGUAGAAGCUGAAUCGGCAAUCUUCUUUUUGGGAGGUCAACUGCAGCUGCAAUGAUGACCACUUUUUCAAACCCGAUUUUCGCAUGACACGUGCCAGUUUUAACACACUCUGUGGCUUUCUCGGCAAUUAAAAAAAAAAAGCCGAUGCAAGCUGGCGCACGGCAAUUUCAUUGCAAAACGAGUAGCAAUCGCUUUAUUUGCCCUUUGUUCAGCUGGAGAGUAUCGAGUAGUAUAUGAAUUGUUUGGUGUUGGCAAAUCAACUGUGUGUGCAAUAUUGAUGGAAUUCUGCGAAGAAGUGUGGCAAGCGUUGUCCACACAGUAUAUAAAGAAAUUGCCACCCACGCAAGAAAUAGUUGCUGAAUGUGUGAAUGGUUUUCAUCGCCGUGGCUUUCCACAAUGUCUGGGAGCAAUUGAUGGAUGUCACAUCGAAAUAAAACCAAACACGACUGAUGCAACUGACUAUUACAAUUAUAAGGGAUGGUAUUCUGUUGUACUUCUUGCGCUUGUGGAUUACAGAUACCGUUUUUUAUAUAUAAAUAUUGGUGCACCGGGACGUUGCAAUCACUCCCACAUAUAUAAUCCAUCCCUACUUAAAAAGGUGUUAACUGAGGACUAAGUAUUGGCGGCCAAUAAGAAGAAUAUAUGCACAGAGACCGUUUUUUAUAUAUAAAUAUUGGUGCUCCGGGACGUUGCAAUGACUCCCAAAUAUAUAAUUAAUCCUUACUUAAAAAGAUGUUAACUGAGGACGAAGUAUUGGCGGCCAUUAAGAAGAAUAUAUGUGGUGUACAAAUGCCGGUCUGUAUCUUGGGGGAUUCGGCAUUUCGUUUUUCCACCACUUUAAUGAAACCAUACGCCUUUUCUACGGCCUUGACAGAGAGACAAAAAUUAUUCAAAUUAUUUCAAAGUACAGAAGAGUGGUAGAGAAUGCUUUCGGUCAUUUAAAAGUCCGUUUUCGUCGCAUUGGAAAAGGCUUAGAUAACCGAAUAGGGAACACGCCGAUGAUUAUUCGAGCUUGCUGUGUUUUACACAACUUUUUAAACGAAGAAUGUGAUAAUAUUAAUCAAAUAUGGUUGGGAAAUUUGGAAUAAUUUGAACGAAAUCGGGAAAACCCUUCGCAAAAUGUUGUACUUGGUGAUAACGAAGCCUCAGCUGAAAUCAUAAGACAAUCGUUGUGUUCUUAUUUUGGGAAGUAAAAGUUAUUCUUUCUCCAUAACUUUUUAUUGAAAAAAUUUAUUUAUUUAUUCGCAUUCAGAAAGUAAUUGAUAAGUUUUAUUAUUUUUUUUUAUUUAUACAAGUUUACAGAAAUAAAUACAUUUUCCGAUCUUGGACAUUUGACCAACACUUCUAAAGUAAAACUUUCCGUCGAAUCCGAAUAUGAAGUCAAAAUAUAAUCAAGUAGUAGUUGCGAUAAAGUAAGUUUACUUUUCUUUAAAGAAGUGAAGAUAAGUCCACUCAAUGUUUUAUAAUGCAGUUGGUCAAUUACCAAAUGCUUUUUGCGUAGGUUAAACUGACUAAAUUAACCGUCAUCUAUGUCAACAACAUUUUCACACUGGAUUAGUGCUUUAAGAGCUAUACAUUAGUUUCUACACAAAUACGCAUAAUUUCAUUAAUUAUAAAAAAUUUUCAAAAUAACAAAAAAAACUUUCGGUACAAAUAUCAAGAUGAAAUAAUUUAAAAUUUUUCUAUAGUUAAAGAAAUUAUGCGUAUUUGUAUAGAAACUAAUGUAUAGCUCCUAAACCACUAAUCCGGUUGAAAAAUGUUGUUGCCAUAGAUGACGGUUAAUUUAGUCAGUUUAACCUACGCAAAAAGAAU